CUUAACCAUAGAACUGCAUUGGAAACUGGUAACCUAGAGUAUGGGAGGGGGAGAUGGAAUUAGUGGUGUAGGGGUAAAAUCCGUAGAUAUCACUAGGAAUACCGAAAGCGAAGGCGAUCUCCUGGAACAAUACUGACGCUAAGGCGUGAAAGCGUGGGGAGCAAACGGGAUUAGAUACCCCGGUAGUCCACGCCCUAAACGAUGUUCACUAGUCGUCGGGAUGCUAGUCAUCUCGGUGAUGCACUUAACAGAUUAAGUGAACCGCCUGGGGAGUACGGUCGCAAGAUUAAAACUCAAAGGAAUAGACGGGGACCCGCACAAGUGGUGGAGCAUGUGGUUUAAUUCGAAGAUACGCGAAGAACCUUACCUAGCCUUGACAUAUUUUAGAACUCCGCAGAGAUGCAGAGGUGCCUUCGGGAGCUAAUUUACAGGUGCUGCACGGCUGUCGUCAGCUCGUGUCGUGAGAUGUUGGGUUAAGUCCCGCAACGAGCGCAACCCUCGUCACUAGUUACUAACGGUUCGGCCGAGGACUCUAGUGAGACUGCCUUCGUAAGGAGGAGGAAGGUGAGGACGACGUCAAGUCAUCAUGGCCCUUACGGCUAGGGCAACACACGUGCUACAAUGGCCAGGACAGUGAGACGCGAUACCGCGAGGUGGAGCAAAUCUAUAAACCUGGUCUCAGUUCGGAUUGUAGUCUGCAACUCGACUACAUGAAGCUGGAAUCACUAGUAAUCGUAGAUCAGCUAUGCUACGGUGAAUACGUUCCCGGGUCUUGUACUCACCGCCCGUCACACCAUGGGAGUUGAUUUCACCC
RNAcentral lists this ribosomal RNA (814 nucleotides) under marine sediment metagenome. RNAcentral's name for it is "bacterial SSU rRNA". It matches the Rfam family "Bacterial small subunit ribosomal RNA", at positions 608 to 1422 of the family's 1533-position model. The record is from RNAcentral.